Molecule: unclassified non-coding RNA, 1548 nt
Filed under: Hevea brasiliensis (rubber tree)
Lineage: Eukaryota; Viridiplantae; Streptophyta; Magnoliopsida; Malpighiales; Euphorbiaceae
Source: RNAcentral
GAACUAUUAGAGUACUAAUUUUAUAAAUUUAUAGUGACAAUAAACGAAACAAGAUUAUUAAUUGAACACUGAUGAACUAGUGGAGUACUAAUUUGAUCAGUAAUAUACCCUGCCAAAAGACAAAGAACACAUUAAUUUUUAUUAUUCAAUAAAGCAGGUAGCUCUGAAGAAAGGAACCUAAAGAGGAGGACAUACACAUGCCAAAAUAGAAGUUCAAAACAUAAAAGUUCAAACCAACGCAAAACAUCACGGCCGGACCCACAGAUUAAUUAAUUUUAUAACAUGUUGGAGUAGUUUUUGGCAUGCAGCCUCAUUUGGAGAGAGGAGCCUCUUGGCUCUUCCUGAACAGCUUGUGUUCAAUAUGCUGAGCAAAUGUGCGAGGAGGGUACUGUGCUGGCUCCGUAUCUGUGACAAUCUCAGGCAAUGGCUUAAGGAUGAUUUUCUCCCUUGGUGGCUCACAGAAAACUGCCCAUGAAAUCCUCACCUUCUCCUUAUUAACAAGUCCCCUGUGAAGAAUACUCUUGUAUUUGCCAUUGCUCAAGAUCUCAACAGUGUCACCAAUGUGCAUGAUUAUAGAAUUUGGGACGCAUUUGGCUGUCACCCACUUGCCUUGAUAGAAGAGUUGCAGACCUGGAACCAUGUUGUGAAGGAUGAAAGUGAGGGCACUUAUAUCGGUGUGAGCUUCAACUCCUAGGGCAAGAUCUGGUUGAGGGCACUUGGGGUAGUAGUUGAUCUUCAUUUGGAGUAGCAGCUCUUCAAGUCCACCAACCUCUUUUUCUAGUCUGCCUUCUUCCAGUCCCAACCCAAUUGAUAGUACUGACAAAAUUUUGGUCGCUAGGCCUCUCAGUUGCCUUGCAUACUCACUGGUCACCUCAAUGUAGUCGUUGGGCGUCUUAGGCCAAAUGGACAAAUCCCGCUUCUCCUCAGGAAAAAUAAGAUGGAAGAAAUAGUCCUCCCACUCGAGCUGCCCAGAAGCAUUGUUAGCCAGUUUGCUUCCAUAUCCUUGAAUUUUCCCUGAAACCUGAUCAUUGGCAUACCCCUCCUUUUCUUCAAUAGGAAGAUCAAAGAAAGCCUGCCCAGCUUUUUUGACACGAUCAAUGAGAUCAUCAGAAAUGCCAUGGUUAACCAAGUGCAUGACACCCCACUCUUUGGCUGCCUUUACAAGAUCUGCCCUGCAUUUCUCGCGAACGACUAUGUCCUCAGAGUCCACUUCCUUCAAAUCAAUGGUUGGAACUUGAGGCCCUUCCUCUUUCUUCUCCUCUUCGAAGACAUUGCCGAUGCUUGUCAAUUCUUCUUGUGGGCGCACGUACUCUUUCGGGAUUGAAUUAAUCCCACUGCUUGACAAGCUCUCAACUCUGGUAGCCAUCGUUGUCACCAUUGUAGCAAGAAAAACGAAUGCUUUGAGAUUGGGAAACUACUAAUAAAUUUUUGUAUGCUCUAUGGAAUACUGCCUGGGAUUGUAGGGUUAAGCAAUAUGCAUGGCAUAUAUAAUGCCAAUAUGUUUAGUGUUAUAUGUAAAGACAGUUUACAUGAGCGGUUGUGGGUUAA